UGCAGCCUAUAGCUAGACAGAAGAGAGU
RNAcentral lists this non-coding RNA (28 nucleotides) under Rattus norvegicus (Norway rat). The record is from RNAcentral. Lineage: Eukaryota; Metazoa; Chordata; Mammalia; Rodentia; Muridae.